This 528-nucleotide ribosomal RNA is filed under the name uncultured bacterium. RNAcentral's name for it is "partial 16S ribosomal RNA". It matches the Rfam family "Bacterial small subunit ribosomal RNA", at positions 355 to 899 of the family's 1533-position model. The record is from RNAcentral.
UGGGGAAUAUUGCACAAGGGGCGAAAGCCUGAUGCAGCAACGCCGCGUGAGUGAUGAAGGCCUUCGGGUUGUAAAGCUCUGUCUUUUGGGACGAUAAUGACGGUACCAAAGGAGGAAGCCACGGCUAACUACGUGCCAGCAGCCGCGGUAAUACGUAGGUGGCAAGCGUUGUCCGGAUUUACUGGGCGUAAAGGAUGCGUAGGCGGAUUUUUAAGUGAGAUGUGAAAACCCUAAGCUUAACUUGGGGACUGCAUUUCAUACUGGAAAUCUAGAGUGCGGGAGAGGAGAAUGGAAUUCCUAGUGUAGCGGUGAAAUGCGUAGAGAUUAGGAAGAACACCAGUGGCGAAGGCGAUUCUCUGGACCGUAACUGACGCUGAGGCAUGAAAGCGUGGGUAGCAAACAGGAUUAGAUACCCUGGUAGUCCACGCCGUAAACGAUGAGUACUAGGUGUAGGAGGUAUCGACCCCUUCUGUGCCGCAGUUAACACAAUAAGUACUCCGCCUGGGAAGUACGAUCGCAAGAUUAAAA